Molecule: unclassified non-coding RNA, 253 nt
Filed under: uncultured Bacillaceae bacterium
Lineage: Bacteria; Bacillati; Bacillota; Bacilli; Caryophanales; Bacillaceae
Description: contains 16S-23S intergenic spacer region
Rfam family: Bacterial small subunit ribosomal RNA
Source: RNAcentral
UACAGGGUUUGCUAGCGUUUUUCGGAAUUACUGGGCGUAAAGCGCGCGCAGGCGGUCUUUUAAGUCUGAUGUGAAAGCCCCCAGCUCAACCGGGGAGGGUCAUUGGAAACUGGGAGACUUGAGUACAGAAGAGGAGAGUGGAAUUCCACGUGUAGCGGUGAAAUGCGUAGAUAUGUGGAGGAACACCAGUGGCGAAGGCGACUCUCUGGUCUGUAACUGACGCUGAGGCGCGAAAGCGUGGGGAGCAAACAGG